UUGACCUCAAAUCAGGUAGGACUACCCGCUGAACUUAAGCAUAUCAAUAAGCGGAGGAAAAGAAACUAACAAGGAUUCCCCUAGUAACUGCGAGUGAAGCGGGAGAAGCUCAAAUUUGAAAUCUGGCAGUAUUCGAUUGCUGUCCGAGUUGUA
RNAcentral lists this ribosomal RNA (153 nucleotides) under uncultured Inocybe. RNAcentral's name for it is "partial 28S ribosomal RNA". It matches the Rfam family "Eukaryotic large subunit ribosomal RNA", at positions 1 to 147 of the family's 3401-position model. Lineage: Eukaryota; Fungi; Basidiomycota; Agaricomycetes; Agaricales; Cortinariaceae. The record is from RNAcentral.